GCCAGCCUGGCCUAGUGGUUUGAGUGUCUGACUAGGAAUUCAGGAGACCAGGGUUUGAAUCCCUGCUCAGCCA
Molecule: non-coding RNA, 73 nt
Organism: Phrynosoma platyrhinos (Desert horned lizard)
Lineage: Eukaryota; Metazoa; Chordata; Lepidosauria; Squamata; Phrynosomatidae
Source: the annotation of a GenBank genome assembly